AGAGUUUGAUCAUGGCUCAGAUUGAACGCUGGCGGCAUGCCUUACACAUGCAAGUCGAACGGCAGCACGGGAGCAAUCCUGGUGGCGAGUGGCGAACGGGUGAGUAAUACAUCGGAACGUGUCCUGGAGUGGGGGAUAGCCCGGCGAAAGCCGGAUUAAUACCGCAUACGCUCUGAGGAGGAAAGCGGGGGAUCUUUCGGGACCUCGCGCUCAAGGGGCGGCCGAUGGCAGAUUAGGUAGUUGGUGGGGUAAAGGCCUACCAAGCCGACGAUCUGUAGCUGGUCUGAGAGGACGACCAGCCACACUGGGACUGAGACACGGCCCAGACUCCUACGGGAGGCAGCAGUGGGGAAUUUUGGACAAUGGGCGCAAGCCUGAUCCAGCAAUGCCGCGUGUGUGAAGAAGGCCUUCGGGUUGUAAAGCACUUUUGUCCGGAAAGAAAACCUCUGGGUUAAUACCCCUGGGGGCUGACGGUACCGGAAGAAUAAGCACCGGCUAACUACGUGCCAGCAGCCGCGGUAAUACGUAGGGUGCGAGCGUUAAUCGGAAUUACUGGGCGUAAAGCGUGCGCAGGCGGUGAUGUAAGACCGAUGUGAAAUCCCCGGGCUUAACCUGGGAACUGCAUUGGUGACUGCAUCGCUCGAGUAUGGCAGAGGGGGGUAGAAUUCCACGUGUAGCAGUGAAAUGCGUAGAGAUGUGGAGGAAUACCGAUGGCGAAGGCAGCCCCCUGGGUCAAUACUGACGCUCAUGCACGAAAGCGUGGGGAGCAAACAGGAUUAGAUACCCCUGUAGUCC
This 795-nucleotide ribosomal RNA is filed under the name uncultured bacterium. RNAcentral's name for it is "bacterial SSU rRNA". It matches the Rfam family "Bacterial small subunit ribosomal RNA", at positions 8 to 796 of the family's 1533-position model. The record is from RNAcentral.